Molecule: long non-coding RNA, 119 nt
Filed under: Vombatus ursinus (common wombat)
Lineage: Eukaryota; Metazoa; Chordata; Mammalia; Diprotodontia; Vombatidae
Description: lncRNA (ENSVURG00010007241.1)
Source: RNAcentral
CGGGUUGCAUGAAAGAUAUCCUAUUAAGCUGUUAGUACUGGAAAGACAAAGUGGAUGAAGAAUGAAUUUUGCAGAAAGUCAGGUCCACUUGUUCCAGUUUGCGCCUUCUAGUCCUUUGG